GACGAACCGAGCGAACGUUAUUCGGAAUCACUGGGCUUAAAGGGCGCGUAGGGCGGGCGGCCAAGUCAGGGGUGAAAGCCCCCAGCUCAACUGGGGAAGUGCCUCUGAUACUGGUCAUCUCGAGGGAGAUAGGGGCGUGCGGAACUUCCGGUGGAGCGGUGAAAUGCGUAGAUAUCGGAAGGAACACCGGUGGCGAAAGCGGCGCGCUGGAUCUCUUCUGACGCUGAGGCGCGAAAGCCAGGGGA
RNAcentral lists this ribosomal RNA (245 nucleotides) under uncultured bacterium. Its description in RNAcentral is "partial 16S ribosomal RNA". It matches the Rfam family "Bacterial small subunit ribosomal RNA", at positions 524 to 767 of the family's 1533-position model. The record is from RNAcentral.